Long non-coding RNA from Rattus rattus (black rat), 1114 nucleotides. RefSeq lists it as uncharacterized. NCBI's taxonomy places the organism in Eukaryota, Metazoa, Chordata, Mammalia, Rodentia, Muridae. The record is from RefSeq and is a predicted model, not a curated record. The transcript has 4 exons.
UCCAGCCCGGUUCCAGCCCGAUUCCAACCCAGCUCCGGCCCGGCUCCCGUUCUCCACCACGCCUCUCUGUCGACGCGACUGAGCAGCUUCGCAGGAAAAUCCCAGAAACCUUUGCAAAAAGCUUACAAUGAAAUUUAAGAAGUUCUACCAUUUCGGCGCCAUUUUCGAGUGGAGUGAGAGGUUGUUUAGUUUUUUCCAGUGUGAAACUCGACAUUGGAAAAGUUUGGCUCCAAGGGUGACCAUCGACUUUUUUUCUCCACUGUUCCAUGUCCAUGUAAAAGUGACUUGUAAUAUAGCCAAGAAAAGAUGGAAAUUUUUCGUUUCAACUUAAGGAGUGGGGCUGUUACUAUUAAUAGCUUUAUUUAUCAUGACCUAAGCAAUGCAUUUGUUAGCGCUGGAUCAUAAUCUGUUAUGUUAGGAAUUUUGUACUUAGUUUAACUACAGACUCUGUAUAUUAAUUAAUUAAUCAAUUAAUUAGCAUAAAUUAAAUUAGCAUUCACUGUACUAGUUUUGAAAAACUGACAUAAUUUUAAAUGCAAAUACAGGAAAUUUGGCGACAUUCAAUUUCUGUUUAUGUACACAGAAUGUAUUUUUACUUUCAAAGGCACUAUAGUUUUAUUGUUUUAGUUAUUAGGUCUGUGGUUAAGGACUAAAGAAUGUUUUUGUGCUUUCUUGAAUGCUUUGUUUAAAGAAGGAAAUGAAUCAAUGUAACUUGUUUCUCACAUGUGUCCAUUUUGAAAAGCAACAGUGGGAGCUAAGGAGUUAAUCACUAAGGAGCAUGCACAGUGCCGGCCAUUUCAAGACGUGCAGUUUUUGGUGGAGUUGCUUAAGAAGGAGUGAUUUGUAUCUAACAUCAAGGAUGUCAUUUACUUAAAGUUCUUGAUUUGUGAUUUGAUGUUGAUGAUGAUAAAUGUAAAUUUAUAUAUAAAUAAGCUUGAAUAGCCAGCAAUGUAUGAGAACAUCCAGGGGUUUCUCAGCUUUGUCCUUAAAAAUAACUAAAGACAAGAUGUUUACUGUAAGAAUGGAGGGAACUACUAGAACAAGUCUAUCCCAUGCCUAUAGUAUUAGUAAAACCAACUGGGACUACCCAGAGGGAUUUUUUUGAUUAUCGAAA